Molecule: RNA transcript, 9120 nt
Organism: Alosa sapidissima (American shad)
Lineage: Eukaryota; Metazoa; Chordata; Actinopteri; Clupeiformes; Clupeidae
Gene: kcnc3a
Gene name: potassium voltage-gated channel, Shaw-related subfamily, member 3a
Exons: 7
Source: RefSeq, a predicted model, not a curated record
AGGAGGGAGGGACACGAGUAAAGAGAUAGAAAGAGGGAGAUGCAGACGAACGUAUUAGGCUACUCGAUGGACCCAUGUCGCGUGGAAGUGUCAGUUCACUAUAGAUUCAGGCAGAGAGGAUACUAAACAGCUCAAUUAUAGAAUUUGUACAAAGAAACAAUAGAAACCUUGUAUAGGCCCGCCUUGUCAUAAGAGCUGAGCUUGGUCGACUUUAACGCUGAAUACACAUUUGUGCCUAUGGCAAUUGUCUAGUAGGCUAAUUUACACGUUUGACCAGCGACUGGACUACGAUCUAAGGAGGGAAAACCAAGCAAACAGAAGAAAGAAUGCGUUUUAUUGUUGGGCGACAGCUUUUAGAAAAAGAGGUGUAGGCUAUGUGCCAGUGGAGAGAGCGCAAAUGAGAGGUACCCUCGUUCAUUGCGCUUGAUUGGCUCGUGCAAAAAAAAAAAAUGGAAUAGCAGAAAUAAUACAAAACAGGGGUAAGACACGAUAGACUGGUCAAAAGACAUAGGGUGCAGGAUUGUUGGAGAAAAUACAGUUGCGUUGAGGCAAAAGGGGGAUGUGGAAAUAAGUUAACGUACCAGGGAAACGUUGUGCAUUUAUUGAGGCGAGACACCAGCAAAAAAGACACACGAGGAUUGUCUGGUAGACUUAAAUCACGUUGCUAUUAAUCGUUUGUGUUGCCUUUUCGGAAGAAAUUAUACCUCUCCAAAGAAUCAGCUAUUAUUGGUGAUUUGUGCAGUCCGCAGACCAGUACAUCGAUCCACUUCACUGAAAAAAGAAGAUAAGGUGGAAAGACUGCCUUGUAAAUUAACUAAGACUAUUAACUUGAGUGUUAAUGUGUGUGUGUUUGAAUACACGCACACUUUACACACACGGGCCCAACCAGACCCAAAGCGAACUCCUCCUCCCCCCUCCCCCCUCCGUUUUCUCUCCUCUUUUCCCUCCCCCCUUUCCCCUAUGCUCAGUUCGGUGUGUGUCUCCUCUUUCAAAGGGCGCAAGGGUGGGAACAAGUCGGCUAACAAAGCAUGUUCCAGCGCAGACAUGACUUGUCCGUCAUCAGACAGCGAGAAAAUCGUGAUAAACUGCGGUGGAAUUCGACACGAGACGUACCGCAGCACGCUCAAGACACUGCCCGGUACCCGCUUGUCCUGGCUAACGGAACCAGACGCGUAUAGCAAUUUCGACUACGACCCCAAAACUGACGAAUUCUUCUUCGACCGUCACCCCGCCACUUUUUCUUUCAUUCUGAACUAUUACCGCACAGGGAAGUUGCACUGUCCCAAUGAUGUGUGCGGUCCGCUCUUUGAGGAGGAGCUCGCUUUUUGGGGCAUCGAUGAGACGGACGUGGAGGCAUGCUGCUGGAUGAACUACCGCCAACACAGGGAUGCCGAGGAGGCACUGGACAGUUUUGAAACCCCCGAGCCAGAGGAACCUGAAAUCGACCCAGCGCUCACGGGGGGCGCUGACGGGGACCUGAAGCGUUUGUGCCUGCAGGAAGACGGCCGCAAGCCCAGCUGGUGGAGCGUGUGGCAGCCCUAUAUUUGGAACCUCUUCGAGGAUCCGUACUCUUCCAAAAAUGCCCGGUAUGUGGCGUUUCUGUCCCUCUUAUUCAUCCUCAUCUCAAUCUCUACAUUCUGCCUGGAGACGCAUGAGGCCUUCAACACCAUCUACAACAAGACAGAGAAUGUCACCGUGGGUAAUGUCACAAAAGAGGAGAUCGUGUGGGAGGUGGAGACAGACAUAUGGCUCACUUACGUGGAGGGCGUCUGUGUCAUCUGGUUCACUAUUGAGGUGUUCGCCCGUGUCAUCUUCUGCCCCGACAAGGCUGAGUUCUUCAGGAGCUCGCUCAACAUCAUUGACUUCGUGGCCAUCAUGCCCUUCUACCUGGAGGUGGCGCUGAGUGGCCUCUCCUCCAAGGCGGCCAAAGACGUGCUGGGCUUCCUGCGCGUGGUGCGCUUCGUGCGAAUCCUACGUAUCUUCAAGCUGACGCGCCACUUUGUGGGUCUGCGGGUCCUGGGGCACACGCUACGCGCCAGCACCAACGAGUUUCUCUUGCUCAUCAUCUUCCUCGCGUUGGGCGUCCUGAUCUUCGCCACGAUGAUCUACUAUGCCGAGCGCAUCGGAGCCGACCCAGCCGACCCCACGGCCAGCGCCCACACCACCUUCAAGAACAUCCCCAUUGGCUUCUGGUGGGCUGUGGUCACCAUGACCACGCUGGGCUACGGGGACAUGUACCCGGAGACAUGGUCCGGCAUGCUGGUGGGCGCACUGUGUGCCCUGGCAGGCGUGUUGACCAUCGCCAUGCCUGUGCCCGUCAUUGUCAACAACUUUGGCAUGUACUACUCGUUAGCCAUGGCCAAACAGAAGUUGCCCAAGAAGAAAAACAAACACAUCCCUCGCGCCCCGCAGCCGGGCUCACCCAACUACUGCAAGCCAGAUGCACUCGCCAUGGCAACCGCCUCACCGCACAGGCUCAUGGGAAACGUGCUGGGAAACAUUGGGGUGUCCGGCAGCAUGGGCGGAGACUGCCCUCUGGCCCAGGAGGAGAUCAUAGAAAUCAACCGAGCAGACUCCAAGCAGAAUGGCGAUGCUGCGAGCGCAGCCCUGGCUAAUGAGGACUGCCCCACCAUAGACCAGGUGCUGGGCCCGGAUGACCGCAGUCCGGCCACAGGGGGGCUUGGCACGGGCCGCGAGCGCUACCCCCAUGACCGCGCCUGCUUCCUGCUCAGCACUGGGGAGUUCCGCACCACAGACAGCAAUGUCAGGAAAGAAGCAGCCGCCGCCAGCCCCAUCUCCCCCCCGGGAGAGGAAUGGUUCAAGCCGGAGGGGCCUCUGCUACAGCAGGACCUCAAUGCAAACUCUGCUUCCUCCUGGAUCAAACCGUAGCACCACAGAGAGAACUAUACUGAAAGCCCUGUGCUUAUCAGAUAUAUGCAAAAAGAAGCAGUAGCUGUGAAUUAACACUGAAACAAGCUAUCAUUCCUCCUGCAUAGCCACAUUACCAAUCAGCAUCAAGAUCUAUUUCCCUUGCACACCUCUACACACAAAUAUGAACAGGGUGUGCAGUCAUCCUCCUCCUCUCCCUGUUCCCCCACCCCCCACCCCCAUAGCUCUCUUCAACCUUUACUAGUGACUGUCGUCUGAUUGUUUCAAGUUGUCCAUCUUCCACUCGAGGCUUUGUACUCUCUUGGUUGACAUUUCAUAUCAUAUCGAAUGCAUCUCUCUCACCUCCACAGAAUCAGGGGAGAAAAUGGUGUUUUAUGACAGUGGCAACACCCAUGUUCAGAUCCAGGUUUUUGUUCUCCUGGGUGUUCUUGCUAGGGAGGUGACCGCCGUAGCAUUACAAUCCACACCAUCAGUUGUUGUUGGUUCAGGAUUGUGUUCUAUAAAAAUAUUGCAUUGCUUCAGGAAGACAUUGAGCGAAUGUUCCUGAAGUAGGAUUGGAGGCUUAUCUGAUUGUGGGCAGGCUUUGUGAAGGGGCCUUUACUUUUGGACACAUCUGGAGUCUGGAGCCGAAGCUUGGCAAGAGGCCUGUACAAAAAAAAAAAAAACACACACACAGAGUUGAAAAUCCAAACCUGUAAUACUCACAUAGACACUGCAUGCAGACCUGAGUGUCACGAGAAUGCUUGUUACACUGUAUCCAUGUGCAUCUUGUGUUAACUUCCCCUGUAUAUAAGAGCAUGGUGUAUCUCCAUGGUAGGGAAAGGGACAGUGCUUGCGUGAUGUGAAGGAAAGCAGGGUUGUUUUGAUCGCUGAUUGCUGGAGAGGUGAGACAACACUCAGGGAGAGGUUGAUGUCAGCAGCUCUGAUGUUUCUGCUUUGGACCACUGGAAACAUCUGUCGACCUGUGCAAAGUUUAGGAUCACUGAAAAGCAUUCCUUUAAACCCAUUCUAUCAUCAUUUAAAAGCAAUCACAACCUAAUUCUGGAACAAGCGUAAAUUCCAGAAUAUUCCAUACUUCUUGCACUCACUUCAAUCAGACUCUUCCCUUAUCACUACUCAGGUAUAAUUCUCUUCUGUUCCAAUCAGUGCUUCCAAAAUGAUGUCUAAGAGAAUAUAGUGGAGUAGAUAUUGUGACUAUAAUUCCUGACUGUGAGCUUCAUAUUCCUUCUCCCUUUUCAUUCAUGUUUGUUCUCAGUGUCCUCACUACCUUCUAAGUCAUAGUUUUGUUUUUCAUUUCUCCCUCCAUUUUCCUUUUUUCCUUGUUUUCAUAUAUAUUUUCUUGUACAAAUUUACUGCUUCCAAAAACUAACCAAAAAUAUUAAACUGCAUACAAAAAAUGAACUGAGGUUUAACAAAGCAAACAUGUUCCAAUUUGAUCUUGCCUGAAAAUGGAUUACAAAGAACUCACAUGGAUAGACGGACAGACCCUAAUGUGCAAUGAAAGAAAGAUGGACAGAUUGUUCUGUGUGAGGGACUAGUAGGAACUGUUUGAAAAGAGGAUUGUCAUCAAAGGAAGAAAACCGUGAAAUGGAGGACAGUUUGGGGAAGAAAGAACAAAAUCAAAAUGAGAGGAGGAUGGAAACGAAAUGAUCGCUUCUCAGUUGUUGAGUUUCUAAAUUUCCUCAAUUUCUCUCAAAAAGAAGACAGAAAAUUAUACAAUUUAUCCAGAGCCUGUCAUUGGGAGCACCAUUAGAAGAACUACAACUUACAAAUAGAAGACAUAGAGAGAGAGAGAAUAGAAGACAUGGAGAGAGAGAAAGAGAGUGAAAGACCAGGGGAAAAGAAGACUCUGGGGCAAAAGAAGAGAGUCACUUGUUUGGUAUUCUACAUGAAAUAUAGUCACAGAGACAAAUAGUGGACAAAUGCGAAACAUAGCAAAAUAAUAACAAUUGUCAAGACACUGGACCUCACUGGACUCACACGUGUACUCUAAACUGAAUGCUUUGGAUUGUAUACACUAUAGUAAACAGAGAGAGACGUGCAAAAACAAAAUCAGAGACUGAAAACUUGGGACUUGUGGGAUUGUGACUACUGCUGUAUAGUUAACAGAGUGGUCAAAGCUGCUCCAGCGUUCACUGAUUGUUGUAACUAAAACUGCUGGGGAAAGUAGUCACUGCUGUCCACCCCAAAUUAUUUUGGCCUCAGAUGUGGACAAGCCCACAGAUUUCGGCACCUUACCUCUAAAGAUGUACACACGUAUACACACACAUAUGCCCACACAUACACAGUGCAAAUUGCUCUUCGUGAUGACAUGAAGUACCACUCUUGGGGACUCUGUGAUGUGGACUUGUGUGACUCAGCAAAACCGAAACGUUGAAGAAGGAGAGAGGUGCUGAUGAUUGCCCUGCAUUUGGGGUGAUCAGUUGCCUAUUGUUUCUCUCUCUCUCUCUCUCUCUCUCUCUCUCUCUCUGUAUCUCUCUUUCUCUUCUCUCCUACCGGUCAUGCUAUUGUGUUUCCUCCCCUCCCCCCCUCAACCUCCACCUGUCUGCAUCUCGGCGUGUCUACUCUGUAGUGAACUGCAUGGCAUGAACAAAAAAACUCAAGCAAGGAAGUAGAGAACAAGUAGACGGAGGAAGAGACUUCAGUUAGCAAACAAAGGCGCAUUCGCGUUGUCCUUUUUUUUUUUUUUUUCUUCGAUUACAAAAAAAAUCUCUGAUCUUGAAGUUGGCUCAUGGCACGAGCCCAGCUGCUGAAAAAGAGCUUAGAGUGGACAAAAGAAAGAAUAAUAACGACUCCCCUUCCCAUGGGAUGACGUGUUCGAGCUGAAAGAAGAAAAGGAAGAAGGAAAAUAGACGCAUGGUGCCAAUAGAAGAACAGCAAAUGGAAGUAUGGCGAACUUUGAUGAACAAUUCAGAAAAAAAAGAGAAAAUCGAAAAUGCAUUUUCUUACUUUGUUUACCAGCAUGACUAAUUUGCAUGACUCUACUUCUGCAAGCCGUGGCCCCUGAAAAAAGCAAGGGGCUCGGAAUCCCUUCAAAAACAAAACCAAAUGGGGAAAAACAAAAGAGAUUUAUGUUAUAUGCAACUUAGAAAAGAAGAGGAUUAUAUUAAAAGAGGAUCUAUAUUUUGUUUUUGAAUACAAAAAAUAAUAAUAAAAAUAUAAGAUUGCAAGAUAAACAAACUAUGUUUUAUUAGAUAUAAGGUAAGACACCCCACCAAAUGUACUGGUUGUGAACAAUUCUCUUGCUACUUCUGCUUCUAUAAUUACUUCUAUAACUACGACUGCUCUUGUUACUGAUCCUACCAUGAGGACUCUUGUUGUAUACGACUGUACUACUUCUCCUGCUUGCUCUUUCCUGCUGCACUGCUGUCAGCCUCUCUCGCCGUCGCCCCCUGCUGCACAGGCUGCAUCACAACAACUCUCCUCUCCCAUGUUGACCUCUCACUCCUCUGCACCCACAGCUGUGCGCUGACGUCAGGAGGUCAAGGGUGAUUGCUUCACUGGAGGAGAUGCUACCCACACCAGUGCAGUUAAUGUGAAGUAGACUGUAAUAUUUCUGUCCAUGUUUUUCUGUUUCUUGAUGAGUUAUACAUUCACAGCAGUUCAGUGUGUGGGUAGACAGUAUGAGAUGAGUUGAACAAAUGUGUGCAAUUUUAGCCCAGCAAUACUAGUUUCAUAUCAUCCAAAGGGGGAGGUUCUCCUGUUCUCCAUCAUCACAACCUUGUAGCUGUCACAGGUUCACAACAAUGUUUUGUCUCCUGCCCCCAUAUCACUUCGCACUUUUACGUUUCUCCAUGCUGCUGAGUUCAAAGGUUAUUUUCAGCUCUUAUGUAGCUUAGCACUAAUGUGCUCACCUUAAUAUUUUGGCUCAAGUCUUCUCUGUGAAAUCAGUCAUUUUGGUUCUAAUGUCCUCAGGAUAAGAUUUGAUAUGAAUAAGACCGACAGGGAUAUGUGCAAAUGAGAUACACUGUGUUGACAUAACAAAGCGGUUGUUAAUGCAGUUACUGUGUAUUAAGGUUUAGCCUCCACCUCGGAAUCCUGUGGUCUUGUACUUUCUCACCUCUCCUCCUGAGUGUACCCAACUUGUGAGGGCAGUUCACUAAAAGAAAGUUAAAUUUAAAAGCCACAUUAUACCCUAGUGAAGUUCUAUAAUAGACUUGUUCUUACUGUCCAAAAUAUUCAAACAAACCUCAGAUUUCUUGUUUGGAGUUUAAAGAAUUCUUGGUGCAUAAAUGAAUUAGGCCUACUUUUGAAUAAUGCAUUGCUCAUUAUACUGUUUUGAAAUGUCAGUGACUAAUUUAUGUGUCAUCUUUAUUACAAUCAGUGCAAUUAAUUGUGCUGUUUUUUCUUUGUUAUUUUUCACUUCAGUGGCUAAUAUUGUAAUGGUGGUUGGCCAGAGAUAAGAUGUAGGAAAUAUUAUCUACAUCAUGGCCUUUGAUGAGACUUAAUUUCACCCAUAAGAAUUUCACCCACCUACUAUCAGUCAUCCAUGAGCAUCCAGUAGAUAGUAGUUGGAUAUGGGCCUGCAUAAGGAUCAAUUGAAUGAGGGCUGCAAUGACAAUUCGAGUUGUGUCAACCAGUGUGCUAAUUACCUGACCAGAAUCUUCACUAAGGUGAUCAGUUACCUAUGCAAGAGCGCAGCUGUAGUGUCAGGGCCUAUUUGCACAAGAACGUCUCAAAUUGGGUUGUAUCUGUUCUGAUCUAUCUGUUCUGGACACUUCAGCACUAUACGGUCAGUGAGUAGCUCCUAUGGUCACUUAAACCCCAGUCCUACUGUAGCCAUGCAUAAUGGUCCAUGACAGGGUCAUUGACUUCAGGUAAAAGAGUGAUGCAGUGGUAGGUUGCCCCUUAAGCAUCACUUACAUUGACAUUCAUUUCACCUCCCUGUUCUCCCAGUUCAAUGUACUGGUCUCACAUCUCCGUCCCCCAGUUUUCCAGAUAGUUCAGUAAGGCCCCAGAAUGGAACUAAGCAAGAAAAUGGGUUUUGAUUUAGAGAGAGGGAUGCGUUACUGUCAAGGAGAAUUAAAGGGAGCUAUAAGGAAGGCCUAUUGAAGCCCCUUUUUAACAGCAAAAACAACUUCAUCCACAGUCCAGGGUCUCUGAUAUAGAGCAAUAACAAGUCCACCAGUUCUCCACAGAGGGAUGACCAUUGUAAUAUGGGGUGACAGCUUCCAAAGUCAGUUGGAACCUACCCACACAGAGAAAUAUCAGGGGAUCCUUGUGAAUGUCAUUGAUUGUAACUGCUAAUGUGUUUUACACAUAGAGUGGCUUGUGAGUGCAAGUCCAUUUGCGUGUCUGUGUGCGUGUGUGUGUGUGUGUGUCUGUGUGUGUGAGUGUGUGUCUGCCUGUCUCUGUCUGAACUUGGGGGGGAUGCAUCACGAGUGGAUCUGUGAUUUAGAGCAAUGCCACGCCCAUGUGAGGUGACUGACAGCUCCACUGUUUACUUGAAACCCAAAUAUAAAACAUAUCAGUGAGGAGCAGAACAAAUCGAGCCAGAUUCAGCUGCCACUCCCCUUCUCUUUUCUCCUUUUGUUUUCCCUCCAUCCUCACCUCUGUUGCUCUCCUUCCUCUACUGUUUUUUGUUUAGGAAGAAGCUAUUUGGCAUCUGUUGUUUUCUUGUGUUCUUCUAUCAUAUUGUUUGAAGCUGAAUUAUAAUGCAUGCGUGGGGGAAAAAAGAAGACUACAAUUUAUCUGUGAAUGAUAUUGAAGAGUGAAAUAACCUUCUCUUUCACCUGUUUUCCUGCUCGAAUUCUCUCUUCAUCUGUUUAAAAAGCAGGAGGAGGGAGCGCAAAACUAAAAGCAUUACUGUGAAUCACAAACUCACUUAAUCUGAAAUUUUCAAAAUGAAAAAGUCUUGAGAAUUUCCUUUCCUCCAUUUCCUUACUGACUUUCUUUAUUGAUUUAUUUACAUUUUUGUUAGGCUUUUCUUAUGUAUUUUGGCUGUUUAGUUGUUGGCCACCAAAUGAGUUUCAUGAAGCAGGGGUUUCUGAGUGUUACAGGUUGAGCAAUGAAUAGAUAAACAAUCACACACAUUUGAGUGCUUAAAGAGAUACACAAACACCCAAAUACAUGAGCAUCAGACAACACACACAAAAAACAUUUAACACACAAACGUAAUCGCAUUCACUUACAUAUGUCAGAAACCACGGCCACAUAUUCAUAGACCAUUUUGUUUCUCUUUGUUUGCUACUAAAAGGCUAUCUUGUUUUGUUACGAAUGUGAUUAUUUUUU